Molecule: small nuclear RNA, 280 nt
Filed under: Erinaceus europaeus (western European hedgehog)
Lineage: Eukaryota; Metazoa; Chordata; Mammalia; Eulipotyphla; Erinaceidae
Description: 7SK RNA
Rfam family: 7SK RNA
About the family: 7SK was discovered as an abundant small nuclear RNA in the mid-70s but a possible function has only recently been suggested. Two independent studies have found that 7SK RNA binds the CDK9/cyclin T complex (known as elongation factor P-TEFb).
Source: Rfam by way of RNAcentral
GGAUGUGAGGGCGAUCUGGCUGCGACAUCUGUCACCCCAUUGAUCGCCAGGGUUGAUCUGGCUGACUUGGCUGACUAGGCAGGUGUCCCCUUCCUCCCUCACUGCUCCAUGUGCGUCCCUCCCGAAGCUGCUCUCUGGUUGGAGAGGACGGCCUUCCCCAAAUAGAGACGGACCUGUCUUCAGUCGAGGGUAUAGGAGUAGCUGCGCUCCCCUGCUAGAACCUCCAAACAAGCUCUCAAGGUCCUAGCUGUGACCAUGGACUGAGAGCUCAGACUGACAG